RNAcentral lists this ribosomal RNA (463 nucleotides) under uncultured bacterium. Its description in RNAcentral is "bacterial SSU rRNA". It matches the Rfam family "Bacterial small subunit ribosomal RNA", at positions 331 to 792 of the family's 1533-position model. The record is from RNAcentral.
CCAGACUCCUACGGGAGGCAGCAGUGAGGAAUAUUGGUCAAUGGCCGCAGGGCUGAACCAGCCAAGUCGCGUGAGGGAUGACGGUCCUAUGGAUUGUAAACCUCUUUUGUCAGGGAGCAAAGGGCGCCACGUGUGGCGUUUUGCGAGCACCUGAAGAAAAAGCAUCGGCUAACUCCGUGCCAGCAGCCGCGGUAAUACGGAGGAUGCGAGCGUUAUCCGGAUUUAUUGGGUUUAAAGGGUGCGCAGGCGGAAUGUCAAGUCAGCGGUAAAAUUUCGGGGCUCAACCCCGUCGUGCCGUUGAAACUGGCGGGCUGGAGUUGGAGAGAAGUACGCGGAAUGCGCGGUGUAGCGGUGAAAUGCUUAGAUAUCGCGCAGAACCCCGAUUGCGAAGGCAGCGUACCGGCUCCACACUGACGCUGAGGCACGAAAGCGUGGGUAUCGAACAGGAUUAGAUACCCCCGUA